Molecule: ribosomal RNA, 887 nt
Filed under: uncultured bacterium
Lineage: Bacteria
Description: partial 16S rRNA
Rfam family: Bacterial small subunit ribosomal RNA
Source: RNAcentral
GUGCCAGCAGCCGCGGUAAUACGGAGGCUCCGAGCGUUAUCCGGAUUUAUUGGGUUUAAAGGGUGCGCAGGCGGCGCUUUAAGUCAGCGGUCAAAUCACGGGGCUCAACCCCGUUCAGCCGUUGAUACUGGAUUGCUUGAUUGCGGUCGAGGUUGGCGGAAUUCGUCGUGUAGCGGUGAAAUGCAUAGAUAUGACGAAGAACACCGAUUGCGUAGGCAGCUGACCAGGCCGUUAAUGACGCUGAGGCACGAAAGUGCGGGGAUCGAACAGGAUUAGAUACCCUGGUAGUCCGCACAGUAAACGAUGAAUACUUGUUUUUGGCGAUAUACAGUCAGAGGCAAAGCGAAAGCGAUAAGUAUUCCACCUGGGGAGUACGCCGGCAACGGUGAAACUCAAAGGAAUUGACGGGGGCCCGCACAAGCGGAGGAACAUGUGGUUUAAUUCGAUGCUACGCGAGGAACCUUACCCGGGCUUGAAAGUUAGUGAAUAUCUCGGAAACGGGAUAGGCCCUUCGGGGACACGAAACUAGGUGCUGCAUGGUUGUCGUCAGCUCGUGCCGUGAGGUGUCGGCUUAAGUGCCAUAACGAGCGCAACCCUUUUCGAUAGUUACCAUCAUUAAGUUGGGGACUCUAUUGAUACUGCCAUCGUAAGAUGUGAGGAAGGAUGGGAUGACGUCAAAUCAGCACGGCCCUUACGUCCGGGGCGACACACGUGUUACAAUGGCGCAGACAGAGAGAAUCGAAGUGGCGACACUGAGGCAAUCUAUAAACUGCGUCCCAGUUCGGAUUGGAGUCUGCAACUCGACUCCAUGAAGCUGGAUUCGCUAGUAAUCGCGCAUCAGCCAUGGCGCGGUGAAUACGUUCCCGGGCCUUGUACACACCGCCCGU